This 497-nucleotide ribosomal RNA is filed under the name uncultured bacterium. RNAcentral describes it as "partial 16S ribosomal RNA". It matches the Rfam family "Bacterial small subunit ribosomal RNA", at positions 28 to 507 of the family's 1533-position model. The record is from RNAcentral.
GAUGAACGCUGGCGGCGUGCCUAAUACAUGCAAGUCGAGCGAACAGAUGAGGAGCUUGCUCCUCUGACGUUAGCGGCGGACGGGUGAGUAACACGUGGAUAACCUACCUAUAAGACUGGGAUAACUUCGGGAAACCGGAGCUAAUACCGGAUAAUAUAUUGAACCGCAUGGUUCAAUAGUGAAAGACGGUUUUGCUGUCACUUAUCGAUGGAUCCGCGCCGCAUUAGCUAGUUGGUAAGGUAACGGCUUACCAAGGCAACGAUGCGUAGCCGACCUGAGAGGGUGGUCGGCCACACUGGAACUGAGACACGGUCCAGACUCCUACGGGAGGCAGCAGUAGAGAAUCUUCCGCAAUGGGCGAAAGCCGGACGGAGCAACGCCGCGUGAGUGAUGAAGGUCUUCGGAUCGUAGAACUCUGUUAUUAGGGAAGAACAAAUGUGUAAGUAACUAUGCACGUCUUGACGGUACCUAAUCAGAAAGCCACGGCUAACUACGUG